UACGGAGGGUGCAAGCAUUAAUCGGAUUUAUUGGGCGUAAAGGGCGUGUAGGUGGAUGUACAAGUCAGAUGUGAAAUUCCGGGGCUCAACCUCGGAGCUGCAUUUGAGACUGUAGAUCUAGAGGGAUGACGGAGAGAAUGGAAUUCCACGUGUAGCGGUGAAAUGCGUAGAUAUGUGGAAGAACACCUGUGGCGAAAGCGGUUCUCUAGUUUAACCCUGACACUGAGGCGCGAGAGCAAGGGGAGCAAACAGG
Molecule: ribosomal RNA, 253 nt
Filed under: uncultured Simkania sp.
Lineage: Bacteria; Pseudomonadati; Chlamydiota; Chlamydiia; Parachlamydiales; Simkaniaceae
Description: partial 16S ribosomal RNA
Rfam family: Bacterial small subunit ribosomal RNA
Source: RNAcentral